CAAAUCGUCGACAAUGGUAUUUCUUUCCGUUGCUUUGGCAUUGAGUACUCUCUCUUCUGGAAAGAUGUGGCGGCACACUUAGGCUUUAAUGCGCGCUGCUCUAUCAAUUUGGAUUUUUCCCUCUCUGGUUAUAAUCAUCAUAGUUUCUGGCACCUGAUCUCGAGACAGAAUGUUGUGGGAAAAUUCCAACCCAAUGCCAACAACAUCCAUCAUCCCACACGCUUUUGCAUAAGUGGCUUGCUUGUUCUUUUUUCUCUAGGGAU
This 263-nucleotide long non-coding RNA is filed under the name Sorghum bicolor (sorghum). RNAcentral's name for it is "long non-coding RNA (SBIC_LNC006518)". Lineage: Eukaryota; Viridiplantae; Streptophyta; Magnoliopsida; Poales; Poaceae. The record is from RNAcentral.